CCCUAGCUGGUCUGAGAGGAUGACCAGCCACACUGGAACUGAGACACGGUCCAGACUCCUACGGGAGGCAGCAGUGGGGAAUAUUGCACAAUGGGCGCAAGCCUGAUGCAGCCAUGCCGCGUGUAUGAAGAAGGCCUUCGGGUUGUAAAGUACUUUCAGCGGGGAGGAAGGGAGUAAAGUUAAUACCUUUGCUCAUUGACGUUACCCGCAGAAGAAGCACCGGCUAACUCCGUGCCAGCAGCCGCGGUAAUACGGAGGGUGCAAGCGUUAAUCGGAAUUACUGGGCGUAAAGCGCACGCAGGCGGUUUGUUAAGUCAGAUGUGAAAUCCCCGGGCUCAACCUGGGAACUGCAUCUGAUACUGGCAAGCUUGAGUCUCGUAGAGGGGGGUAGAAUUCCAGGUGUAGCGGUGAAAUGCGUAGAGAUCUGGAGGAAUACCGGUGGCGAAGGCGGCCCCCUGGACGAAGACUGACGCUCAGGUGCGAAAGCGUGGGGAGCAAACAGGAUU
RNAcentral lists this ribosomal RNA (506 nucleotides) under Escherichia coli. RNAcentral's name for it is "partial 16S ribosomal RNA". It matches the Rfam family "Bacterial small subunit ribosomal RNA", at positions 281 to 779 of the family's 1533-position model. The record is from RNAcentral. RNAcentral also lists the same sequence under 1 other name. Lineage: Bacteria; Pseudomonadati; Pseudomonadota; Gammaproteobacteria; Enterobacterales; Enterobacteriaceae.